This 72-nucleotide transfer RNA is filed under the name Loxodonta africana (African savanna elephant). It matches the Rfam family "tRNA". Rfam says of the family: Transfer RNA (tRNA) molecules are approximately 80 nucleotides in length. Their secondary structure includes four short double-helical elements and three loops (D, anti-codon, and T loops). Further hydrogen bonds mediate the characteristic L-shaped molecular structure. tRNAs have two regions of fundamental functional importance: the anti-codon, which is responsible for specific mRNA codon recognition, and the 3' end, to which the tRNAs corresponding amino acid is attached (by aminoacyl-tRNA synthetases). tRNAs cope with the degeneracy of the genetic code in two manners: having more than one tRNA (with a specific anti-codon) for a particular amino acid; and 'wobble' base-pairing, i.e. permitting non-standard base-pairing at the 3rd anti-codon position. Lineage: Eukaryota; Metazoa; Chordata; Mammalia; Proboscidea; Elephantidae. The record is from Rfam by way of RNAcentral.
GUCUUGGUGGCUCAAUGGUUAAGUGCUUGGCUGCUAACCAAAAGGUUGGCAGUUCAAACCCACCCAGGGGCU